UCCCUGGUGGCUCAGUGGUAAAGAACCUGCCUGCCAAUGCAGGAGACACAGGUGCAAUCCCUGAUCUGGGAA
Molecule: transfer RNA, 72 nt
Filed under: Ovis aries (sheep)
Lineage: Eukaryota; Metazoa; Chordata; Mammalia; Artiodactyla; Bovidae
Rfam family: tRNA
About the family: Transfer RNA (tRNA) molecules are approximately 80 nucleotides in length.
Source: Rfam by way of RNAcentral